Non-coding RNA from Ictidomys tridecemlineatus (thirteen-lined ground squirrel), 72 nucleotides. The record is from Rfam. Lineage: Eukaryota; Metazoa; Chordata; Mammalia; Rodentia; Sciuridae.
CAUAAUGUAGCUCAAUGGUAGAGUGUUUGUCUAGCAAGCAUGAAGCCCUGAGUUCAAUCCCCAGCACUAAGA